Molecule: ribosomal RNA, 253 nt
Filed under: uncultured bacterium
Lineage: Bacteria
Description: partial 16S ribosomal RNA
Rfam family: Bacterial small subunit ribosomal RNA
Source: RNAcentral
UACGUAGGAGACGAGCGUUGUCCGGAAUUACUGGGCGUAAAGCGCGUGUAGGCGGAUGAGCAAGUCUGCUGUGAAAGCUCCUGGCUUAACCGGGAGUGGUCGGUGGAAACUGCUCGUCUGGAGGACGGUAGAGGUAGGUAGAAUUCCCGGUGUAGUGGUGAAAUGCGUAGAGAUCGGGAGGAAUACCCGUGGCGAAGGCGGCCUACUGGGCCGGACCUGACGCUGAGACGCGAAGGCGUGGGGAGCGAACGGG